AAUAAACGCUGGCGGCGUGCCUAACACAUGCAAGUCGAGCGAGAAAGUUCUUCGGAAUGAGUAAAGCGGCAGACGGGUGAGUAACGCGUGAGAAUCUUCCCUUUAGUGGAGAAUACCCUCGAGAAAUCGAGGUUAAUACUGCAUACGUCCUACGGGAGAAAGAUGGCCUCUUUGCUAUCGCUAAAGGAUGAGCUUGCGUACUAUUAGCUAGUUGGUGGGGUAAUGGCCUACCAAGGCGAUGAUGGUUAGCCGGCCUGAGAGGGUGUACGGCCACAUUGGAACUGAGAUACGGUCCAGACUCCUACGGGUGGCAG
RNAcentral lists this ribosomal RNA (314 nucleotides) under uncultured bacterium. RNAcentral describes it as "bacterial SSU rRNA". It matches the Rfam family "Bacterial small subunit ribosomal RNA", at positions 29 to 351 of the family's 1533-position model. The record is from RNAcentral.